UACGUAGGGUGCGAGCGUUGUCCGGAAUUAUUGGGCGUAAAGAGCUUGUAGGCGGUCUGUCGCGUCUGCCGUGAAAUUUCGGGGCUCAACCCCGAACUUGCGGUGGGUACGGGCAGACUAGAGUGUGGUAGGGGAGACUGGAAUUCCUGGUGUAGCGGUGAAAUGCGCAGAUAUCAGGAGGAACACCGAUGGCGAAGGCAGGUCUCUGGGCCACUACUGACGCUGAGAAGCGAAAGCAUGGGGAGCGAACAGGAUUAGAAACCCCAGUAGUCC
RNAcentral lists this ribosomal RNA (273 nucleotides) under uncultured bacterium. Its description in RNAcentral is "partial 16S ribosomal RNA". It matches the Rfam family "Bacterial small subunit ribosomal RNA", at positions 524 to 796 of the family's 1533-position model. The record is from RNAcentral.